Long non-coding RNA from Stegostoma tigrinum, 722 nucleotides. RefSeq lists it as uncharacterized. The record is from RefSeq and is a predicted model, not a curated record. The transcript is spliced from 3 exons. Lineage: Eukaryota; Metazoa; Chordata; Chondrichthyes; Orectolobiformes; Stegostomatidae.
CAGUGAUUUUUUUUAAAUAUGGUGCCUCGGUGCAGAGCAUGGAGUAGGUUUGUGAGAGGAAUAAUGAUCAGAAAUUUGUUUUCAUUCCUACCCAGGUUAUACUGUGCUAUGUACCAAAUUAAGGCCUGUCAUCAGUGUGUUUCUGAUCUCAAUAAGUUGUCAUGUCUGAACAUCACAUCUUCAAAUUGCAUCUUUUCAUCAACACAAUAUAUUUCAUUGCAUCAUUAAUAACUUGGUCCACAAGAAGUAUUCAGUGGAAGCAUUUUAAAAAUGAACUUUUAGAUCAGGUUUUCUGGCUGAACUUUGAGGAUGGUUUUGUUGGUAGAUGUCAUUUGCAAAGUUUUUCUGUAAAAGUUUCUAGAUCUGUUUUGUUAUAUUUUAAGAUAUCAUGCUACAGACAUGUGGUAUUCUAGUUUGUGUAGUUCAUUGCCAUCAAUCUUCUUUCUCCUAGCUGAGUCUAGGACCUGUCUAGUUAUCAAUGGAAGAGGAUAGACAACUGUAUUUUACAGCUCCCAAGGGAGGAGUUUGCACUCUAUAAAGAGAGGCUGGAGACGCACAAGCUCUUUUCUUCAGAAUAGGGGAAACUGAGGGGGACCUGUUUGAGGUGUUUAAGAUUGAGGGGCCUGGGCAGGGAGGAUCAUUGAGGCCAGAAACAACGCACACUUUAAAAAGUACUUGGAUCAGACUUGAAGUGCCAUAACAUUCAAGGCAAUGGGCCAUGG